Molecule: ribosomal RNA, 479 nt
Filed under: uncultured bacterium
Lineage: Bacteria
Description: partial 16S ribosomal RNA
Source: RNAcentral
CACGUAGUUAGCCGUGACUUAUUCAUCAGGUACCGUCAUUAUCUUCCCUGAUAAAAGAGGUUUACAACCCGAAGGCCGUCAUCCCUCACGCGGCGUUGCUGCGUCAGACUUUCGUCCAUUGCGCAAAAUUCCCGACUGCUGCCUCCCGUAGGAGUCUGGGCCGUGUCUCAGUCCCAGUCUGGGUGAUCGUCCUCUCAGACCACCUACCGAUCGUCGCCUUGGUGAGCCGUUACCCCACAACGAGCUAAUCGGACGCAGGCCCCUCCGAAGCGCCUUGCGGCUUUACUGGUGUGAUCGAACACACCACCACAUGCGGUAUUAGCCACCCUUUCGGGCAGUUAUUCCCCACUUCGGGGCAGGUCACCUACGCGUUACUCAGCCGUCCGCCACUAACACUUAGAGCAAGCCCUAGGUGUCCGUUCGACUUGCAUGUCUCAUGCACGCCGCCAGCGUUUAUCCUGAGCCAGGAUCAAACUCUA